GGGGAUGUAGCCAAGUGGGAAGGCAGCGGUCUGCAAAAUCGCUAUUGAGCCGGUUCGAUUCCGGCCAUCCCCU
RNAcentral lists this transfer RNA (73 nucleotides) under Pseudomonadota bacterium. Its description in RNAcentral is "tRNA-Cys". It matches the Rfam family "tRNA". From Rfam's summary of the family: Transfer RNA (tRNA) molecules are approximately 80 nucleotides in length. Their secondary structure includes four short double-helical elements and three loops (D, anti-codon, and T loops). Further hydrogen bonds mediate the characteristic L-shaped molecular structure. tRNAs have two regions of fundamental functional importance: the anti-codon, which is responsible for specific mRNA codon recognition, and the 3' end, to which the tRNAs corresponding amino acid is attached (by aminoacyl-tRNA synthetases). tRNAs cope with the degeneracy of the genetic code in two manners: having more than one tRNA (with a specific anti-codon) for a particular amino acid; and 'wobble' base-pairing, i.e. permitting non-standard base-pairing at the 3rd anti-codon position. RNAcentral also lists the same sequence under 3 other names. The record is from RNAcentral. Lineage: Bacteria; Pseudomonadati; Pseudomonadota.